This 1372-nucleotide ribosomal RNA is filed under the name uncultured bacterium. RNAcentral's name for it is "bacterial SSU rRNA". It matches the Rfam family "Bacterial small subunit ribosomal RNA", at positions 28 to 1381 of the family's 1533-position model. The record is from RNAcentral.
GAUGAACGCUGGCGGCGUGCCUAAUACAUGCAAGUCGAGCGAACGGACGAGAAGCUUGCUUCUCUGAUGUUAGCGGCGGACGGGUGAGUAACACGUGGAUAACCUACCUAUAAGACUGGGAUAACUUCGGGAAACCGGAGCUAAUACCGGAUAAUAUUUUGAACCGCAUGGUUCAAAAGUGAAAGACGGUCUUGCUGUCACUUAUAGAUGGAUCCGCGCUGCAUUAGCUAGUUGGUAAGGUAACGGCUUACCAAGGCAACGAUGCAUAGCCGACCUGAGAGGGUGAUCGGCCACACUGGAACUGAAACACGGUCCAGACUCCUACGGGAGGCAGCAGUAGGGAAUCUUCCGCAAUGGGCGAAAGCCUGACGGAGCAACGCCGCGUGAGUGAUGAAGGUCUUCGGAUCGUAAAACUCUGUUAUUAGGGAAGAACAUAUGUGUAAGUAACUGUGCACAUCUUGACGGUACCUAAUCAGAAAGCCACGGCUAACUACGUGCCAGCAGCCGCGGUAAUACGUAGGUGGCAAGCGUUAUCCGGAAUUAUUGGGCGUAAAGCGCGCGUAGGCGGUUUUUUAAGUCUGAUGUGAAAGCCCACGGCUCAACCGUGGAGGGUCAUUGGAAACUGGAAAACUUGAGUGCAGAAGAGGAAAGUGGAAUUCCAUGUGUAGCGGUGAAAUGCGCAGAGAUAUGGAGGAACACCAGUGGCGAAGGCGACUUUCUGGUCUGUAACUGACGCUGAUGUGCGAAAGCGUGGGGAUCAAACAGGAUUAGAUACCCUGGUAGUCCACGCCGUAAACGAUGAGUGCUAAGUGUUAGGGGGGUUCCGCCCCUUAGUGCUGCAGCUAACGCAUUAAGCACUCCGCCUGGGGAGUACGACCGCAAGGUUGAAACUCAAAGGAAUUGACGGGGACCCGCACAAGCGGUGGAGCAUGUGGUUUAAUUCGAAGCAACGCGAAGAACCUUACCAAAUCUUGACAUCCUUUGACAACUCUAGAGAUAGAGCUUUCCCCUUCGGGGGACAAAGUGACAGGUGGUGCAUGGUUGUCGUCAGCUCGUGUCGUGAGAUGUUGGGUUAAGUCCCGCAACGAGCGCAACCCUUAAGCUUAGUUGCCAUCAUUAAGUUGGGCACUCUAAGUUGACUGCCGGUGACAAACCGGAGGAAGGUGGGGAUGACGUCAAAUCAUCAUGCCCCUUAUGAUUUGGGCUACACACGUGCUACAAUGGACAAUACAAAGGGCAGCGAAACCGCGAGGUCAAGCAAAUCCCAUAAAGUUGUUCUCAGUUCGGAUUGUAGUCUGCAACUCGACUACAUGAAGCUGGAAUCGCUAGUAAUCGUAGAUCAGCAUGCUACGGUGAAUACGUUCCCGGGUCU